CCAAUAGCGUAUAUUAAAGUUGUUGCAGUUAAAAAGCUCGUAGUUGAAUUUCGGGGUUCUACCGUUGGUCGGGCUAACCAGUCUGUACUAGCGUGUAGAAUUUCUACCUUCUGGGGAACCAUCAUGUUAUUAAUUUAGCGUGGUGGGAAACCAGGACCUUUACCUUGAAAAAAUUAGAGUGUUCAAAGCAGGCUUACGUCUGAAUACAUUAGCAUGGAAUAAUAAAAUAGGACGGUGGUCCUGUUUUGUUGGUUUCUGAAUCACCGUAAUGAUUAAUAGGGAUAGUUGGGGGCAUUAGUAUUCAAUUGUCAGAGGUGAAAUUCUUGGAUUUAUUGAAGACUAACUUCUGCGAAAGCAUUUGCCAAGGAUGUUUUCAUUAAUCAAGAACGAAAGUUAGGGGAUCGAAGACGAUCAGAUACCGUCGUAGUCUUAACCAUAAACUAUGCCGACUAGGGAUCGGACGAUGUUAACUUUUAUUGACUCGUUCGGCGCCUUACG
Molecule: ribosomal RNA, 498 nt
Filed under: uncultured Glomeromycotina
Lineage: Eukaryota; Fungi; Glomeromycota
Description: partial small subunit ribosomal RNA
Rfam family: Eukaryotic small subunit ribosomal RNA
Source: RNAcentral